Molecule: transfer RNA, 81 nt
Filed under: Podarcis lilfordi (Lilford's wall lizard)
Lineage: Eukaryota; Metazoa; Chordata; Lepidosauria; Squamata; Lacertidae
Description: tRNA.Ile
Rfam family: tRNA (bases 15-73)
About the family: Transfer RNA (tRNA) molecules are approximately 80 nucleotides in length. Their secondary structure includes four short double-helical elements and three loops (D, anti-codon, and T loops).
Source: RNAcentral
GUGCCAUUGAUUGAUAGCUCAGUUGGUUAGAGCGUGGUGCUGAUGACACCAAGGUUGCAGGUUCGAUCCCCAUAUGGAACA